UAGGGAGUCGCGCCUGCCCAGUGAUUAUUCAACGGCCGCAGUACUCUGACUGUGCAAAGGUAGCAUAAUCAUUUGCCUUAUAAUUGAAGGCUGGUAUGAAUGGUUUGACAAGAGUAAUACUGUCUCUCCAAAAUUUCUUAAAAUUUAAUUUUUAGGUGAAGAAUCCUAAGUAGAAUUAAUAGACAAGAAGACCCUAUCGAGCUUAAAAGAAAUAAGUAAAUUAACUUAUAUAUUUUAUAUAUUAUGCUUAAUAUUUUGGUUGGGGCGACUAAGGAACAUUUAAAGCUUCUUUAAAAAAAUAACUAUAAGAUCCAGUAUACUGAUUUAAAGAAUUAGUUACCGUAGGGAUAACAGCAUAAUCUUCUUCAAGAGUUCAUAUCGAAAAGAAGGUGACCUCGAUGUUGGACUAGAAUGUCCUGAAGGCGCAGAAG
Molecule: ribosomal RNA, 431 nt
Filed under: Cordesia atlantica
Lineage: Eukaryota; Metazoa; Mollusca; Gastropoda; Provannidae
Description: partial large subunit ribosomal RNA
Rfam family: Bacterial large subunit ribosomal RNA
Source: RNAcentral